Molecule: ribosomal RNA, 307 nt
Filed under: uncultured Fusarium
Lineage: Eukaryota; Fungi; Ascomycota; Sordariomycetes; Hypocreales; Nectriaceae
Description: partial large subunit ribosomal RNA
Rfam family: Eukaryotic large subunit ribosomal RNA
Source: RNAcentral
AUAUCAAUAAGCGGAGGAAAAGAAACCAACAGGGAUUGCCCUAGUAACGGCGAGUGAAGCGGCAACAGCUCAAAUUUGAAAUCUGGCUCUCGGGCCCGAGUUGUAAUUUGUAGAGGAUACUUUUGAUGCGGUGCCUUCCGAGUUCCCUGGAACGGGACGCCAUAGAGGGUGAGAGCCCCGUCUGGUUGGAUGCCAAAUCUCUGUAAAGUUCCUUCAACGAGUCGAGUAGUUUGGGAAUGCUGCUCUAAAUGGGAGGUAUAUGUCUUCUAAAGCUAAAUACCGGCCAGAGACCGAUAGCGCACAAGUA